Molecule: long non-coding RNA, 418 nt
Filed under: Mytilus galloprovincialis (Mediterranean mussel)
Lineage: Eukaryota; Metazoa; Mollusca; Bivalvia; Mytilida; Mytilidae
Source: RNAcentral
UGGAUAAAUAUCAAUGAGACAGCAAUCACACAACAAAAAAUUUGAAAACACCUAGAGGCUGACAUACAGUUUUCAACCAAUAAAAUUAAGAAUGGAAAUGGGGAAUGUGUCAAAGAGACAACAACCCGACCAUAGAACAGACAACAGCAGAAGGUCACCAACAGGUCUUCAAUGCAGCGAGAAAUUCCUACACCCGGAUGCAUCCUUCAGCUGGCCCCUAAACAAAUAUAAAUACUAGUUCAGUGAUAAUGGAAGUCAUACUAAACUCCAAAUUGUACACAAGAAACUAAAAUCAAAAAUAAUACAAGACUAACAAAGGCUAGAGGCUCCUAACUUGGGGGUUAAACAUGUUUAUGAGAUCUCAAUCCUCCACCUAUACCUCUAGCUAAUGUAGAAAAGUAAAAGCAUAACAAUACGC